UACGUAGGGUGCAAGCGUUAAUCGGAAUUCCUGGGCGUAAAGCGUGCGCAGGCGGUUAUUUAAGACAGGUGUGAAAUCCCCGGGCUUAACCUGGGAACUGCAUUUGUGACUGCAUAGCUAGAGUACGGUAGAGGGGGAUGGAAUUCCGCGUGUAGCAGUGAAAUGCGUAGAUAUGCGGAGGAACACCGAUGGCGAAGGCAAUCCCCUGGACCUGUACUGACGCUCAUGCACGAAAGCGUGGGGAGCAAACAGG
RNAcentral lists this ribosomal RNA (253 nucleotides) under uncultured bacterium. RNAcentral describes it as "partial 16S ribosomal RNA". It matches the Rfam family "Bacterial small subunit ribosomal RNA", at positions 524 to 776 of the family's 1533-position model. The record is from RNAcentral.